ACGCCAACAGUUGCCAGCUCGUCCUCCGGGGAUGGAGGGGGACGACUGUUGGGACCGCCUCUGCUAAAGAGGAGGAAGGAAUGGGCAACGGUAGGUCAGCAUGCCCCGAAUUAAUUGGGCUACACGCGGGCUACAAUGGGUGGGACAAUGGGUAUCGACACCGAAAGGUGAAGGCAAUCUCCUAAACCCAUCCGUAGUUCGGAUUGAGGGCUGUAACUCGCCCUCAUGAAGCUGGAAUGCGUAGUAAUCGCGUGUCAUAAUCGCGCGGUGAAUACGUCCCUGCUCCUU
This 288-nucleotide ribosomal RNA is filed under the name uncultured Methanomicrobiales archaeon. RNAcentral describes it as "partial 16S ribosomal RNA". It matches the Rfam family "Archaeal small subunit ribosomal RNA", at positions 1054 to 1338 of the family's 1478-position model. The record is from RNAcentral. Lineage: Archaea; Methanobacteriati; Methanobacteriota; Methanomicrobia; Methanomicrobiales.